CCUACGGGAGGCAGCAGUGGGGAAUAUUGCACAAUGGGGGAAACCCUGAUGCAGCGACGCCGCGUGAGUGAAGAAGUAUUUCGGUACGUAAAGCUCUAUCAGCAGGGAAGAAAAAAAGUCCUUUGGACUUUGGACGGUACCUGACCAAGAAGCCCCGGCUAACUACGUGCCAGCAGCCGCGGUAAUACGUAGGGGGCAAGCGUUAUCCGGAUUUACUGGGUGUAAAGGGAGCGUAGACGGCAGCGCAAGUCUGGAGUGAAAUGCCGGGGCACAACCCCGGAACUGCGUUGGAAACUGUGCAGCUGGAGUGUAGGAGAGGGAAGUAGAAUUCCUAGUGUAGCGGUGAAAUGCGUAGAUAUUAGGAGGAACACCAGUGGCGAAGGCGGCUUACUGGACUGUAACCGACGUUGAGGCGCGAAAGCGUGGGGAGCAAACAGGAUUAGAUACCCUUGUAGUC
This 457-nucleotide ribosomal RNA is filed under the name uncultured bacterium. RNAcentral's name for it is "partial 16S ribosomal RNA". It matches the Rfam family "Bacterial small subunit ribosomal RNA", at positions 338 to 795 of the family's 1533-position model. The record is from RNAcentral.